GGGGGCGAACGGCUUCGACGGGGUGUUGACGCACAAGAGGGCAUGGCAAGGGUCUCUCGUGACCUUGUAAAUCCUGCGAGAGGAAAACUAACUGCUGAUAACAGCUACGCUUACGCAGCUUAAUUAACCGCGUCCUCGACCUUGUGUUCGGCCCGUUCGGUGCUAGGUUCGGGGUAAUUUAGGACGGGUGAAACCUCCGGGUGGCUACUACCUGAAGGUGGAUCUUUUUAGUAGCUGGUUCCUGAGUUGCUAGUCGCUAAGUUGCGAAGGAACGAGACUUUUUAUAGCGACUAACCAUGUAGUCCUCGACUGCCGACCAUCUCGGACGCGGGUUCAAUUCCCGCCGCCUCCAUUG
This 355-nucleotide transfer-messenger RNA is filed under the name bacterium. Its description in RNAcentral is "B3-TA06 sp012517375 Standard tmRNA". It matches the Rfam family "transfer-messenger RNA". From Rfam's summary of the family: Bacterial tmRNA, also known as 10Sa RNA or SsrA, is named for its dual tRNA and mRNA-like properties. Its role is to liberate the mRNA from a stalled ribosome. To accomplish this part of the tmRNA is used as a reading frame that ends in a translation stop signal. The record is from RNAcentral.